This 2631-nucleotide long non-coding RNA is filed under the name Vitis vinifera (wine grape). RNAcentral's name for it is "long non-coding RNA (VVIN_LNC007397)". Lineage: Eukaryota; Viridiplantae; Streptophyta; Magnoliopsida; Vitales; Vitaceae. The record is from RNAcentral.
GUGGACAACUAUUUGUUCAAAUACAAAUUAUUUUUUGAGAGACUUUGUCAUGUACAAACUUUCUAUCUUCAAGUAUAACUUAGUUGUCAUAUCCCCUUCUUCAACCUUGCAAAGUAUCUUAUCACGCAUGCACUGCUUAUUCCUAGUAUUGUAGGUCUCAGAUGUCCUCAAGCACAGGAUGUCAAGUGUAGUAAUAACAAAUGGUGAGGUGGGUUUAGAUCCACACAGAAUGGGGGUCUCAAAAGCAGUUUAGAAAGGGAAGACUGGAGGUUAAAGUGCUAGACUAGUGAUGGGUUUGAUUAUGAAGUUGUGUAGAGAUUUGGUAAGGCAAUUGUUAGAUGCGAGAUUGAGCUAAGCCAAUGUCAAAAGAAGAUGUAGGCAUUAGGGAUUGUGUACCCUUGAUGGAAUGAUACUAAUAUUUAAUCACAACUGAGGUACUAAUGAGUGGUCUUUGGAAGAUUUUGCAAUGUGGUUCUUAGAGACAUUUCACAAACAUGUAGUUCAAAUCAAAGUCUUGGUUUGAUCAUGGAAGACUACCUAUUUUCCUCCAACUACCAGCCAUGGAAUUACCUAAUCAAGCUUGAAAUCUUAGGUCGAGGUGCUUAAACACUAAGCACCUGGGAUGUCCAGUUAUCAAGUAUUAAAUAAACCUAAGCCCUACUGAGAGAAGAUAGAGAAAGAUAAUAAUAAAUGAAAGGAAAUGAAUCUGAUCUAUAUUGCAUUAAAUUCAUGGACAAAAAUGGCAGAAAUAAUUCAUAGGAUUUCAGCCCAAUGAGGCCCCCUUGUGCUAUUUGGCGAGCUAGCUAACAAAAUGAGAUUUUCAAGUCUCCAUAAAUAUAUGCUGUUACAACCCAAAAGAAAUGGAGAAGAAGAAAUGAAAACUUACAAAAAUUGGAACAAAAUGAAAUAUUAAAAGAUGCUAUUAAUGUUUGAUACAAGAUAGUGUGUACUAUUGAGUUUGAAAUGAAGAAAUUGAAGUUCAAUGUGAGCUGAAAGUGGAGGCAUGUCAAACCCCUAGCUGAAGACUGUCUCUUUCUCCUUCCAUGUUGAAAAAUGAUAUUUUAUAGCCCUCCAAAAGAAACCCUGGAUUGCUUUCCAUGUGGAGACUUCUCAGUAGUGUGUGGAAGAUUGGAUGGUUUAAAGAUUGCAAAAUCUUUUGAUGAGGAGGAUAGCCCAAUAGGGCAAAGUGCAGUGGUUGGGGAAUUGAAUGUCUACGGGGUAAUCAGCGCACCUAUGGUGGUCUGCAGAUUCAUUUUUGGACUGCUAGUGUUUUUAUGCUAGAGGAAUACACCCUCUAAUCCAUCUCCUUAUGGGGAUGUGGGAUGAAUAUGGCCUCUAUGCUGAUUCUUCAAUGUUUUUGCUCCUUUCAUUCCAAUAUGACAUGGCAACUCUCUCGAGGACUCAAGUAUCAGCCAUGAGUGAGGGAAUUGCAUGUACAUCAAAAGUUUGUAAAACAUUAAAUAGCCGAGCAUUUACCGUUAGCUUAAAAUUUGGCUAUAAGGGAAUCAGAUUCGCAUAACGCUACAAAAUGCACGUGAAAACCUUAACUAGGGAGCCAUUCCACCAUUCAUCAAGCACAACAUAAUAGCACUAGGUGAUUUUUCCACAAGUUCAUUCUUCUCUUAGUUGAUCAUUGUUGCUAGUAGAGCCUUCCUACCUUUCAAUGUCUUAUAGAAUUUCUAUGAAAAGCUACAAAGCAUGCAUCUUGAUGCGCCAUAAACUAAAAUUGUUUCUUCCAUCAACUUUUCAAACUGAUCUCUAAUACAAUUUGUUGUAACAAGCCAGAACAAACGAAAAUAAAUCAUAAUAAGAAAAUAAGAAAAGGAAAAUAGAAAGUAUAUAAAGCUUACAACAAUUUGUAUGGUUACAACAAUCUAUGUGGCUUAGUGCAAAGCUUGUAUCUAGGGGCAUGGGCUACAAAGAAAUGUUAGUAAAAUGCAAGGAGAUUAUAAUCUAAGAAUUCUCAAAUCCCAAAGCCCAAAUAUACUUCAAAAGACUAUUUAUGUUAAAAUCUUUCACUAAUUCUUUCCUUUAUAAUAUAGGAAUAUUUCAUAUAAAGAAUCAAUUCCUCAAUUACUAAAGAAACCUAAGUCUAUAGUAAAAUCUUUUAAUAAUAAGAAUGGAAGCUCCGUUACAAAAAUAUCUCCAAAUAGAAUAAUAUCAAGGAAGUAGAAAUUGACCCAAGAAAGGAAUCUGAGAUACUCUUCAACAAUAACCAUCUAUGUAUGUCAAAGUAUGAAUCUUAAUUGUCACGCCCUCAUCUACUAUAUGGGCAUGAUGGUCAUUUCACACUUCAAGCUUGGAGACUUAAGUGCAAAUGACUCAAACAAGCAUCUUAUAACUGAAAAGUUAUGGGUUACUAUAUUCAUGUUCAGAGUAAGCAAAAACAUAUUUUUCCCUUAAAAAACUUCAAAAAAGUAUUCUGCACACAAUACUACAACCAACCAUCAUAUAUUUGUUUUCUUUUUCCAACAUCCUACUAUUUGUUGCAUAUUGGACUUUUUUUUUAAAAAAAAAUUUUUUCUACUCAUCAAAUCUUUGAAAUUUCUUAUCCAUGAAUAAAUCAAUCUGUAUUCAUGCAUUUUUAAUAAUUUUUUUAAAGAAAUCAAAGCCUUAUAUAAAUUUAAAUUU